GACGAACGCUGGCGGCGUGCUUAACACAUGCAAGUCGAACGGAAAGGCCCUGCUUUUGUGGGGUGCUCGAGUGGCGAACGGGUGAGUAACACGCGAGUAACCUGCCCUUGACUUUGGGAUAACUUCAGGAAACUGGGGCUAAUACCGGAUAGGAGCUCCUGCUGCAUGGUGGGGGUUGGAAAGUUUCGGCGGUUGGGGAUGGACUCGCGGCUUAUCAGCUUGUUGGUGGGGUAGUGGCUUACCAAGGCUUUGACGGGUAGCCGGCCUGAGAGGGUGACCGGCCACAUUGGGACUGAGAUACGGCCCAGACUCCUACGGGAGGCAGCAGUGGAGAAUAUUGCACAAUGGGCGGAAGCCUGAUGCAGCGACGCCGCGUGCGGAAUGACGGCCUUCGGGUUGUAAACCGCUUUCGCCUGUGACGAAGCGUGAGUGACGGUAAUGGGUAAAGAAGCACCGGCUAACUACGUG
Molecule: ribosomal RNA, 468 nt
Filed under: uncultured bacterium
Lineage: Bacteria
Description: partial 16S ribosomal RNA
Rfam family: Bacterial small subunit ribosomal RNA
Source: RNAcentral